Molecule: ribosomal RNA, 479 nt
Filed under: uncultured bacterium
Lineage: Bacteria
Description: partial 16S ribosomal RNA
Rfam family: Bacterial small subunit ribosomal RNA
Source: RNAcentral
GAUGAACGCUAGCGGCAGGCCUAACACAUGCAAGCCGAGCGGUAGAGAUUCUUCGGAAUCUUGAGAGCGGCGUACGGGUGCGGAACACGUAUGCAACCUGCCUUUAUCAGGGGGAUAGCCUUUCGAAAGGAAGAUUAAUACCCCAUAAUAUAUUUGAUUGCAUCCUUAGAUAUUGAUAGCUUUGGCGGGUAGUGAUGGGCACGCGCAAGGUUAGCGAGUUGGUUAGGUAACGGCUCACCAAGACGAUGAACUCUAGGGGGGAUGAGAGGGUGAUCCCCCAGACUGGUACCAAGACCCGGACCAGACUGCUACGGGGCGCAGGAGAGAGGAAUACUAGGCGAUGGGUUAGCGCCUGAUACAGCCGUCCCGCGUGAAGGACUACGGCCCUAGGGGUUGUAAACUUCUUUUGUACAGGGAUAAACCUACUCUCGUGAGAGUAGCUGAAGGUACUGUACGAAUAAGCACCGGCUAACUCCGUG